Molecule: long non-coding RNA, 164 nt
Organism: Amblyraja radiata (thorny skate)
Lineage: Eukaryota; Metazoa; Chordata; Chondrichthyes; Rajiformes; Rajidae
Exons: 2
Source: RefSeq, a predicted model, not a curated record
AAUGGGGAAGUUCAAAACAAGUUCUCUUAAAAAAUGGAGUUGGGCCAUUUGAGGUGAUGUCAGGAAGCAUUUCUUCACUCAUAGGUAGUAGACAUCUCAUUAUCCUUCCCAACCCACGGUGCCCCUCCCACAUCCCAGACAAUGGAAAAUGUCAAAAUCUGAAA